Molecule: microRNA precursor, 109 nt
Organism: Sorghum bicolor (sorghum)
Lineage: Eukaryota; Viridiplantae; Streptophyta; Magnoliopsida; Poales; Poaceae
Rfam family: MIR5565 microRNA precursor family
Source: Rfam
GUAGUCAGAUUCCCAUUAAUGCACAUGUGUUGGGGUAGAUUGGAGUGGAACUUGAACUAAAUUCUACCUCAAUCCACUUCAACACAUAUGGAUUGAGGUGAAUCCGACA